GUUAUAUCACCACAAGUCAUAGUAGAUGUAAGCACUUACUAGUGCUAUAGUUACUUAUUAGUAAUAUAAUAGUGCAUUAUUUACAGAUAAUUAAAUUUAUAUGUACUAAGAAGCAGGAGAUUUGUCAUAUUUCAUAUAUGUAUGUUCUGUAUGUAUUUGAGGUAUAUACAUGUAUACUAUGUAUGCGGUUUAGAAUAAAAAUGUUAAAUAGUUUGUACAAAUCUGGUUUAUGUUAAGCACACAGUUUGCUAUUUUUUCCCCCUUAUUUCAUGCUGAUUUUGUUCUAGGUGUCUUGGUUGAAUGGAUUUUUUGAUUUUGAUAGCCUUGUUUUGUGGGUAAGGAACUCCUUGCUCAGACAGAAUUUUCAACCGUUACCUUGAGAGCAGAUGUAUAAUUUUAAAUUGGAAUAUUCAGGCACUGAGUUACAGCUUGUAACUGUUGUACUUUGCUCUCUGUUUCUGGCACAGGAAGGCUCAAAGAUAUCUACAUGUAACAUCCCAAGUUUAAAAUGGUUACCUAUACAAAUAACACAUUUUAAGAAGUCAAGCCUCAAGGAACUGUUAGGUGGAAAUAUUGUUGCUGGUUUUCUCUACUGAAACUUUUGAAAUAGAAGAAUUUUAGAUGUGCCAUGAUCAAGAGAAGAAUUAGACCAGUUCAAUGUCCUUCUAAUUUGUGGUGACAGUUUUCCAAAUUUGCUGUGGUUUUGUUCAGAAUUUCUGCUUUGAGCACCUCAAACAGUGCACUGUUGGAUAUUGUAGCAACUCUCACAUUUUUCUUCAACGUUUUUCAAGAAAUCUUUGUCAUAUUUCCUUUGGAAGACUUAAAUAUUGCUUGAAAAAAUGGCAAUACUGGGAAAAAAAACACACACACACACACAAAAAAAAACCAACAAAACAAACAAAAAAAAAACAACCACCAAAACCACAAAAGACACAUUUUUAGCUUUUGACCUAUAGAUAUCUACGAAUCUUUAGUGUAAAGGUUCUGGACAUGUCUUCCAAAAGUUAAUAUUUUGAUAUUCCCAUCCUUUUUACCCUCCCUAAACAGUGUAUUCCAAAAGUUUUUAGUAUUAUCUUCAUAAAUCAGAAUUUCAGGAGGGUUUCAUAGUGACAAUACGGUGAGCAUGUUAUAAACAGACCUAUCUUGAAGCACAACAAUAAACUAUUAUUACAUUCUUCGGAAUGGUUUUGA
RNAcentral lists this long non-coding RNA (1191 nucleotides) under Anas platyrhynchos platyrhynchos (common mallard). RNAcentral's name for it is "lncRNA (ENSAPLG00000029128.1)". Lineage: Eukaryota; Metazoa; Chordata; Aves; Anseriformes; Anatidae. The record is from RNAcentral.